UCAAGUGAAUAAGUGCAUACGACGGAUGCCUUGGCAGUAGAAGGCGAUGAAGGACGUGAUAAUCUGCGAUAAGCUUCGGUUAGCUGAUAAUAAGCUUUAACCCGGAGAUCUCCGAAUGGGAAAACCCAGUGAUCAUAAGAUCAUUAUCCUUAACUGAAUACAUAGGUUAAGGAGGCAAACCUAGGGAACUGAAACAUCUAAGUACCUAGAGGAAAAGAAAUCAACCGAGAUUCCCUUAGUAGCGGCGAGCGAACGGGGAACAGCCCAGUUGCCAUCAAUCAACCGAUCUUAAAGGAACAGUCUGGAAAGUCUGGCCAUAGAAGGUGAUAGCCCUGUAUUUGAAAAGUGAGGUUGAGGAGCAACAAAGAGUAGGACGGGGCACGUGAAACCUUGUCUGAACAUGGGGGGACCAUCCUCCAAGGCUAAAUACUACCUACCGACCGAUAGUGAACCAGUACCGUGAGGGAAAGGCGAAAAGAACCCCGGAGAGGGGAGUGAAAUAGAACCUGAAACCGUUUGCAUACAAGCUGUCGGAGCUUUGAUAUCUUCGGAUAUUAUAGUGACGGCGUACCUUUUGUAUAAUGGGUCAGCGAGUUAAUUUCUGUGGCAAGCUUAACUUUUUUAAGGUAGGCGAAGGGAAACCGAGUCUUAAUAGGGCGAAUCAGUCUCAGGUAUUAGACGCGAAACCGGACGAUCUAUCCAUGGCCAGGGUGAAGGUGAGGUAACACUUACUGGAGGCCCGAACCCACCUAUGUUGAAAAAUGGGGGGAUGAGCUGUGGAUCGGAGUGAAAGGCUAAUCAAGUCUGGAGAUAGCUGGUUCUCCCCGAAAACUAUUUAGGUAGUGCCUCAUGUAUUACUCUCGGGGGUAGAGCACUGUUUCGGCUAGGGGGUCAUCCCGACUUACCAAACCGAUGCAAACUCCGAAUACCAACAAGUACAGUGAGGGAGACAGACUGCGGGUGCUAACGUCCGUAGUCGAGAGGGAAACAACCCAGAUCGCCAGCUAAGGUCCCAAAGUAUGAUUAAGUGGGAAACGUAGUAGGAAGGCAUAAACAGCUAGGAGGUUGGCUUAGAAGCAGCCACCCUUUAAAGAAAGCGUAACAGCUCACUAGUCGAGUCGGCCUGCGCGGAAGAUGUACCGGGGCUAAAUCAUACACCGAAGCUGCGAAUAGAAAUACGGUUCGCCGUAUUCCUAUGGUAGGGGAGCGUUCUGUAUGCCACUGAAGGUAAAUCGAGAGGUUUAUUGGAGGUAUCAGAAGUGAGAAUGCUGACAUAAGUAACGAUAAGAGGGGUGAAAAACCCCUCCGCCGAAAACCCAAGGUUUCCUGUUCAACGUUAAUCGGAACAGGGUGAGUCGACCCCUAAGGCGAGGGCGAAAGCCGUAGUCGAUGGGAAAUAGGUUAAUAUUCCUAUACUUCUUGUUACUGCGAUGGAGUGACGGAGAAGGCUAGGCCAGCACAGCGACGGUAGUUCUGUGUUUAAAGUUGUAGGUUGGAGAUCUAGGUAAAUCCGGAUUUCUAAGACCGAGAACUGAUGACGAUUAUCUUUUCGGAGAUAAGAAGUGGUUGAUGCCAUGCUUCCAGGAAAAACUUCUAAGCUAUAGGUAGCAAGGAAUCGUACCGCAAACCGACACAGGUGGGUAGGUAGAGAAUACUAAGGCGCUUGAGAGAACUCUGGUGAAGGAACUAGGCAAAAUGGUACCGUAACUUCGGGAGAAGGUACGCCCUCAUUACGUGAAGAGAUUUACUCUCGGAGCGGAAGAGGGUCGAAGAUACCAGUUAGCUCCGACUGUUUACUAAAAACAUAGCACUAUGCAAACACGAAAGUGGACGUAUAUGGUGUGACGCCUGCCCGGUGCCGGAAGGUUAAUUGAUUGGGUUAGUCCCUUGUGGACGAAGCUCAUGAUCGAAGCCCCGGUGAACGGCGGCCGUAACUAUAACGGUCCUAAGGUAGCGAAAUUCCUUGUCGGGUAAGUUCCGACCUGCACGAAUGGCGUAACGAGGGCUAAGCUGUCUCCACCAGAGACUCAGUGAAAUUGAAUUUGCGGUGAAGAUGCCGUAUACGCGCGGCUAGACGGAAAGACCCCGUGCACCUUUACUAUAGGUUCACACUGGACUUUAGAUUUAUUUGUGUAGGAU
This 2139-nucleotide ribosomal RNA is filed under the name marine metagenome. Its description in RNAcentral is "bacterial LSU rRNA". It matches the Rfam family "Bacterial large subunit ribosomal RNA", at positions 3 to 2144 of the family's 2925-position model. The record is from RNAcentral.